ACUCCUGCGGGAGGCAGCAGUAGGGAAUCUUCCACAAUGGGUGCAAACCUGAUGGAGCAAUGCCGCGUGAGUGAAGAAGGUCUUCGGAUCGUAAAGCUCUGUUGUUAGAGAAGAACACGUGCUAGGUAACUACUAGCGCCUUGACGGUAUCUAACCAGAAAGUCACGGCUAACUACGUGCCAGCAGCCGCGGUAAUACGUAGGUGACAAGCGUUGUCCGGAUUUAUUGGGCGUAAAGGGAGCGCAGGCGGUCUGUUUAGUCUAAUGUGAAAGCCCACGGCUUAACCGUGGAACGGCAUUGGAAACUGACAGACUUGAAUGUAGAAGAGGAAAAUGGAAUUCCAAGUGUAGCGGUGGAAUGCGUAGAUAUUUGGAGGAACACCAGUGGCGAAGGCGAUUUUCUGGUCUAACAUUGACGCUGAGGCUCGAAAGCGUGGGGAGCGAACAGGAUUAGAAACCCUUGUAGUCCCA
This 470-nucleotide ribosomal RNA is filed under the name uncultured organism. RNAcentral describes it as "partial 16S ribosomal RNA". It matches the Rfam family "Bacterial small subunit ribosomal RNA", at positions 335 to 797 of the family's 1533-position model. The record is from RNAcentral.